This 395-nucleotide ribosomal RNA is filed under the name uncultured bacterium. RNAcentral's name for it is "bacterial SSU rRNA". It matches the Rfam family "Bacterial small subunit ribosomal RNA", at positions 957 to 1353 of the family's 1533-position model. The record is from RNAcentral.
UAACGCGAAUAACCUUACCAGGUCUUGACAUCUUCUGCUAACCUAAGAGAUUAGGCGUUCCCUUCGGGGACGGAAUGACAGGUGGUGCAUGGUUGUCGUCAGCUCGUGUCGUGAGAUGUUGGGUUAAGUCCCGCAACGAGCGCAACCCUUAUUGUCAGUUGCCAGCAUUUAGUUGGGCACUCUGGCGAGACUGCCGGUGACAAACCGGAGGAAGGUGGGGAUGACGUCAAAUCAUCAUGCCCCUUAUGACCUGGGCUACACACGUGCUACAAUGGACGGUACAACGAGUCGCGAAACCGCGAGGUCAAGCUAAUCUCUUAAAGCCGUUCUCAGUUCGGAUUGUAGGCUGCAACUCGCCUACAUGAAGUUGGAAUCGCUAGUAAUCGUGGAUCAGC